GAUGAACGCUGGCGGCGUGCCUAAUACAUGCAAGUAGAACGCUGAAGGAGGAGCUUGCUCUUCUGGAUGAGUUGCGAACGGGUGAGUAACGCGUAGGUAACCUGCCUGGUAGCGGGGGAUAACUAUUGGAAACGAUAGCUAAUACCGCAUGACAACAGUUAUUGCAUGAUAACUGUUUAAAAGGGGCAACUGCUCCACUACCAGAUGGACCUGCGUUGUAUUAGCUAGUUGGUGAGGUAACGGCUCACCAAGGCGACAAUACAUAGCCGACCUGAGAGGGUGAUCGGCCACACUGGGACUGAGACACGGCCCAGACUCCUACGGGAGGCAGCAGUAGGGAAUCUUCGGCAAUGGACGGAAGUCUGACCGAGCAACGCCGCGUGAGUGCAGAAGGUUUUCGGAUCGUAAAGCUCUGUUGUAAGAGAAGAACGAGUGUGAGAGUGGAAAGUUCACACUGUGACGGUAUCUUACCAGAAAGGGACGGCUAACUACGUG
This 495-nucleotide ribosomal RNA is filed under the name uncultured bacterium. RNAcentral's name for it is "partial 16S ribosomal RNA". It matches the Rfam family "Bacterial small subunit ribosomal RNA", at positions 28 to 507 of the family's 1533-position model. The record is from RNAcentral.